Leptonychotes weddellii (Weddell seal) is the source of this 343-nucleotide long non-coding RNA. RefSeq lists it as uncharacterized. The record is from RefSeq and is a predicted model, not a curated record. NCBI's taxonomy places the organism in Eukaryota, Metazoa, Chordata, Mammalia, Carnivora, Phocidae.
CGGGUCUGGCGUGUUUGCUCGUGCUGGCGCCGUCCGCUAAGGUCAUGGGCGCACUGGGCCCCGAGUGGGUUUGAGGGGGUCCCCCAAGUCUGCAGGCCCACCUGGCCCUCUUCCGCCUCGGUGUUGUUCAUGUUUUUUGCUCCGCCCUCCCCACCCCCGCCCCCUCGUUGGGUCGGAGAAGUCCGAACCUCCAGACCUCCAUCUCCCGGCAGGGCGGUGGGUGACCCGGCCAGAGGCCGUAAACGUGAGUCGACGUCAGCCUGGAGGCCUGGUGGUAAGGCGGGAGCCCUUGUCGGUCUGGGAAGCGCUGAGCAAUAAAGCAAAAGUGGUGAGUUGAUUGGAA